This 252-nucleotide ribosomal RNA is filed under the name uncultured bacterium. RNAcentral describes it as "partial 16S ribosomal RNA". It matches the Rfam family "Bacterial small subunit ribosomal RNA", at positions 524 to 775 of the family's 1533-position model. The record is from RNAcentral.
GACGAACCGUGCAAACGUUGUUCGGAUUCACUGGGCUUAAAGGGCGCGUAGGCGGGCCAUCAAGUCAGGGGUGAAAUCUUUCGGCUCAACCGGAAAAGUGCCUUUGAUACUGGUGGUCUCGAGGGAGGUAGGGGCAUGCGGAACUUCCGGUGGAGCGGUGAAAUGCGUAGAUAUCGGAAGGAACGCCGGUGGCGAAAGCGGCGUGCUGGACCUCUUCUGACGCUGAGGCGCGAAAGCUAGGGGAGCAAACGG